AGUGAACGCUGGCGGUAGGCCUAACACAUGCAAGUCGAACGGCAGCACAGUAAGAGCUUGCUCUUACGGGUGGCGAGUGGCGGACGGGUGAGGAAUACAUCGGAAUCUACUUUUUCGUGGGGGAUAACGUAGGGAAACUUACGCUAAUACCGCAUACGACCUACGGGUGAAAGCAGGGGAUCUUCGGACCUUGCGCGAUUGAAUGAGCCGAUGUGGGAUUAGCUAGUUGGCGGGGUAAAGGCCCACCAAGGCGACGAUCCGUAGCUGGUCUGAGAGGAGGAUCAGCCACACUGGAACUGAGACACGGUCCAGACUCCUACGGGAGGCAGCAGUGGGGAAUAUUGGACAAUGGGCGCAAGCCUGAUCCAGCCAUACCGCGUGGGUGAAGAAGGCCUUCGGGUUGUAAAGCCCUUUUGUUGGGAAAGAAAAGCAGCAGGUUAAUACCCCGCUGUUCUGACGGUACCCAAAGAAUAAGCACCGGCUAACUUCGUG
RNAcentral lists this ribosomal RNA (492 nucleotides) under uncultured bacterium. Its description in RNAcentral is "partial 16S ribosomal RNA". It matches the Rfam family "Bacterial small subunit ribosomal RNA", at positions 29 to 507 of the family's 1533-position model. The record is from RNAcentral.